UUGGGGUUAAGGCUGUGGCUGUCUGUCUGUUUGUUGGCCUGAUUCUCUCACAUCCUUUUGUUGAUUUAUACCAAAGGUGGUAUGUCAGUGAUGAAUG
This is a long non-coding RNA of Thalassophryne amazonica, 97 nucleotides long. RefSeq lists it as uncharacterized. The record is from RefSeq and is a predicted model, not a curated record. The transcript is spliced from 3 exons. Lineage: Eukaryota; Metazoa; Chordata; Actinopteri; Batrachoidiformes; Batrachoididae.